Molecule: long non-coding RNA, 923 nt
Organism: Macaca mulatta (Rhesus monkey)
Lineage: Eukaryota; Metazoa; Chordata; Mammalia; Primates; Cercopithecidae
Source: RefSeq, a predicted model, not a curated record
GCUGGCCAUUUGAGAAUCUUUUAAUCAUUUCUUUUUGUACGUCAGUCUCUUUGCCCUCUGAGUCAUUUGUGCUCUCCUCUUAACUUCCUUCAGUUUGAGCUCAAUUGGAAAUAUGAUUAGCAUAUAGAUUUUUCCUGCUUCUGGCAAGGAUUUUUACACUGGAAAAAAGAGGCUAUACGUUUUGUAGAAAACUCAAGGUCUGACCCACCAAACUCCACUAUUGCCUUCCUGGACCAAUAUCCUUCUUCAAUAGCCAUUUUAUACAACGUUUUCUUCUGGUAAUGAGAAGUUAAUUGCAAGGCUUUGAUACAUUUGGAUGGGGAUGCAGUAAAAUUGAACAAACACAGCUUAUCCUACAUUCUGAAGAUGGGGCACAUUUAUCAGGAAUAAGAAACAGGCACGUGGACUAUAAAUAGGGAAAUGAAGUCAAGUGUUGGCAUGGGUUUCAUGUUUUCCAAGAAACAUGAGAAGAACGGGCCUAACACACUCUUUCAUUGCUUGAGCUGGCAUGGUGGUUAAAUUUUUCUAAAACAGUCAUAUUAAUAUGUUCAAAAAUCCACUGCUGAGUCUCAGAGAGAGGGUCACAUCUGGCCAUGAAAAUCUUCUUCUCUGCGGGGUUGCAAUCCAUGCAGCUGUUGCUCACAGGAUGGAAUAAUGUUCUGUCCUGGAGAAGUCAGGAAGAAAAGAAAAGACUAUUGUAAUACGUGGUGAAUGGUUACAACCCAAAAUAUACAGAAGUAAGAUAUUUCUGUUUAUAUUUCAGUAUAUAUUCAUUGUGUAAAUAGAACAGCUCCCAAAUCAAACAAUAGCAGGUGGAGUUGCCAAUGUGGAAUGUGAAUUUGUAGGCUCUAUUGGCACUAUGUAGAGCCUACAAGCAGGUUCAACUAGAGACAAUAAAUGUAUUCAUUCAUUCAUUCAUUCAA